CAGCCGCCGCGGGAAUACGGAGGGUGCAAGCGUUAAUCGGAAUUACUGGGCGUAAAGCGCACGCAGGCGGUCUGACAAGUCAGAUGUGAAAUCCCCGGGCUUAACCUGGGAACUGCAUUUGAAACUGUCAGGCUGGAGUCUUGUAGAGGGGGGUGGAAUUCCAGGUGUAGCGGUGAAAUGCGUAGAGAUCUGGAGGAAUACCGGUGGCGAAGGCGGCCCCCUGGACAAAGACUGACGCUCAGGUGCGAAAGCGUGGGGAGCAAACAGGAUUAGAUACCCCAGUAGUCCCUGUCUCUUAUAA
Molecule: ribosomal RNA, 301 nt
Filed under: uncultured bacterium
Lineage: Bacteria
Description: partial 16S ribosomal RNA
Rfam family: Bacterial small subunit ribosomal RNA
Source: RNAcentral